GGAUGCGAUCAUACCAGCACUGUAGCACAGGAUGCUAUAAGAACUCCAGAGUUAAGCGUGCUUGGGUGAGAGUAGUGCUAGGAUGGGUGACCUCCUGGGAAGUCCAUGUGUUGCAUUCC
RNAcentral lists this ribosomal RNA (119 nucleotides) under Triticum aestivum (bread wheat). Lineage: Eukaryota; Viridiplantae; Streptophyta; Magnoliopsida; Poales; Poaceae. The record is from RNAcentral.